AGCCAAUCCCGUGCAUCUUCUCUCUCCGCUCUCCAGGAUUGUGACUUUGAUGAUGGUUGAACGUGGAAGAGCAGAGGAGAAAAUGGAGACAGGAAAAGCUUUUCUUCAAUGCAAAGUUCUUUCUCUCUAUUUGCAAAUGGGCCCAUUAUCAAUCACAAUCCUAAGACCCAACUGUCACGUAUUCUAUUUCUGCCACUACUCUCUCUUUCUCCUCUCCUUGCCAGCAUAAACUUUGAGCCUUCAACUUUCACUUUCACACUUGCCACAACUUCUAUUCAUCCUCCACUUUUCUCAAGUCUUUAAUGCCUGCCUAUACGAGAAUAAUUUCGCCUAAAAAAUAAUGGGUCGGUGCAAGAUAAGCACUUUAGUCUUCUAUUCCUCCUCUCCUUUUCUGCUUGUCAAAAGAUACCCACUUAUACCCACCCCAUCCUCAAAAUGACAUGAGUCCUGUUUUUACCUUGUCAUAUACUAGAAAACUCAUUGAAAUUCGUCUGGUUUUUUGUUUUUUUUUUUGCUGGAUUUAUUUAUUUUUAAAAUUUUUUGGGGAUUUUUUUUCUCUGAGUUGGGGACAAUUCGGUCCCUGUUUCGGCAUCUCUACUGUUAUUGUCGCUUUUUUUUUGCCUUGUAAUUUUGUGAUUUUUCUUCCUUUUGGCUUGAAGCAUUUCUCUCAGAAUUUGGUGAAUAUUGAUUUGGGUGUUGAGGAAAAAGCUGGCAUACUGGUGCUGACUGCUAAUUGAUGAAAAUUAAGGUUGUAAUUAGGAGUUCCAGAUAUUAGCAUCGAAAGCAAGCUUUCAGUUGAUAAAGCCAGAAGCCGAAUAUAGUCAUUGCUUUGAAUAUUGGUCUUAUGGUGUAACCGAAGGCAAGCUUUUACACCAAGAUUCUGAUUAUUGAUUAAUUUUGCUGAUCCGUGAAAUUCAGAAGCUGAUUUCCUCUGCCGUGACCCACUCGUGAUUUUGAACUAUAACAGUUCUUUUCGUUAAAGGGAAGAUCAAAGUAUCUAAAGCUUGAGGCAGUGAGGAACUUCAGGCGCUGUUUAAGGCUUGUGAAGGAAAUAAGAAGCUUUUCAAUAACUUGCAAUCCACAGAAAGCUUAGGCUAUAUCUUGAGCUUGACGCGUCUGAGGAAGCUUCACUUGUUGAAAUUGGAAUUUUUUUCACUUUCCUUUGGUCUGGUAUACCUGGCCGCAUUGUUGUCCUUCUUGGCCUCAUCGAGACUGAGAUUUAAAGUGAACACACUAGUGAAAAUAUUUGUAUGAACAAAGAAUAUUAAAGAAUCAAACAUUCACCAUGGCAAAGAAAUCUCAGAGACGCCCCAUCCGACAUGAAAGGGACCAAUCGGGCUGUAUGUGGGGUUUAAUUAGUAUGUUUGACUUCCGCCACGGUCGAUCAACUAAGAGGCUGCUUUCAGAUAGGAAACGUGGGCCCAGGCAUAUUGUUGCUGCUGGGAAUGCUAAGAAUAAGCCUUUCUUGUUAACCAAUCUGGAUCAAAAUUCUCAGCGCAUCAUUGGUGGUGAAGAGAGUGUAGCAGCAGUUGCUGCUAGUAAGCCAAGUGUGAAGAAACUCAUGGAAGAAGAGAUGUUCUGUGAGAAAGACUUAAAGAAGGAGAUAAACAGUGUUGAAAUGGAAACAAAACAGUCUACUUCAGAAUCUGGAGGCAACAAAAGGAAAAACCGCAAAAGAACAAGUAGAAGUCGCUCACGAAGCUGUGAGAUAUACAUAGAAGAUCUGGAUGCUGCUGAGAACUUGGAACCUGAAAAGCCUUGCCUUCAGAAUUCAGAAAAGCAAUCUAAUAAUAUUCUUGAUAUGGAUGAUUUGAUGGAAGAGUUCUGUCGCCAGAUUCAUCACACUAGUUGCUUAACGCAUGAUCAGCAUGAUGAAGUUCACAGCCAACCAAACUGGAAGAAUUCUGACUUUGAAGAAAAAUUGAGUGAGGCAAUCAAAAUUUUUAUAAGUCAGAGGCUCAUCAAUGGGAAACAUGUUACAGGUGAUGAGGAAAUAUUCCCUUCCAAAGAGCUCAAGGAUGCACUCAGGAUUCUAAGUUCUGAUGAGGAAUUAUCUCUGAAACUCUUACAAGGUCCAAAGUCGGUAAUGGUGAAAUAUGUUGAGAACUUGUGGAAUGCUCACAUAGGGAAAGAUAACGUCUCCAAGCCACUUUCAGGAUCAAACUUGUCAGGACAGGAGAUUCAUGGCUUAAAACAGUCUGAUGAGGUUAUCCAUGGUAAACAGCGCAAGUUUUUCAGGAGGAAGGCCAAAUCUCUAGAAAAGAACCAAUCAAAGGAAAUUAAACCUUCUCAAGCUUCAAAUAGGAUUGUCAUUUUAAAGCCUGGACCUAUAGGAGUGCAAAAACCAGAAACUGAAGGAAGAGUUGGUUCAUCUCCAGAAUCGCAAAUUACCAUAAGAAACAAGGGACCAAAUGAAAGAGUUGGUUCCUACUUUUUUUUCACUGAAAUUAAAAGAAGGUUAAAACAAGCCAUGGGGAAAGAGCAACAAGAGAUCGCUUCUGAUGGCAUUUCAAAGAGAUUACCUAACAAACUUCAAGCUAGGGGAGAUAGUGAUAAAAGAUAUAAAGAGAAUGUUGGAAGUUCUCCAAGUAAGGACCACUUCUUUAUUGAAAAAGUUGCCAGGCCUCCAACUGGUGUCAAAAAGGAAGAGAAGAAUGACAAGUUGAAAGAAUGUGAAACAGGUUUGAAGCAUGAAGCUGCUACUUAUCCCAAGGAAAGAUUAUCUAACAUUUAUGUCCAGGCCAAGAAGCAUCUCUCUGAGAUGCUUCCCACUGGGAUUGGGGAUGUGGAUUUUUCAAGCAGACAGGUUCCAAGAACCCUAGGGAGGAUUCUUUCUCUUCCUGAGUACAAUUUCUCUCCCAUUGGCAGUCCUGGAAGGGAUUGGGAGCAAAGCCUUGUUACUGCACAGAUGAGAUUUUCUGCCAAUGAAAAUUUUCAGAAGCAAGAAAACAAUGUUGACCAUCUUGGUCGAAUGACACUAAACUCAGAGACUGAGUUGUGUAUUUCUUAUGACAGUACUGAUAAUAAAUCAAGAGCCUCUCCAAACCGAAAUUCAAGCACAGCAAAUGAACUCGCCCAGGAUAAUGAAGUGGAGAAAAUCUUGUGUUCUGUUGGAGAUGGGAUGACUUCAGAAGGUGAUGUGGAUAUUGUAAAAGUAGCUGAAAUUGUAGUACAAGAAGACGGCAAUAUCUUGGAUACUCUUUCUGAACCAAGUGACUCUUCCAGGACUAGAGAUGACCAAAAUGGUGACAUGUCUGAAGUUUGUGAUGAAAAAAGACAUUCUGUAUGCUUGGAACAUGAUUUACUUGAACAGAACCAAGCUUCAUCUUCUGCAAUAACAUCCCCAUCUACCUCUACAAUCACCAAGAAGGAUGACAAUCUAGAAGGUAUUGUAGAAGCAUUAGAGCGGCCAAGUCCUGUAUCUGUCCUUGAGCCACUUUUCAUAGAGGAGGAAAUCAGCCCAGCAAGAACCAGAUUCCAACCUGGUAGGAAAUCAUACAAAAGUUCAGUUGCUUCAAAUAUUUGUUUGACUUAACAUCAAAUGAUGUUAAUAACAAUUCAUUCAUUUAUCUUAAGCUGAACUGCGAAUUCAACCCCAAAGAAUUCAGUUUGAAGAGCAUGUCCCUUCAGCUGCUGAUAUAGGCACUCAUUUGAAAGCUUAUAUAGCAGACAAGGAAUCAAUAUUUGAAUAUGUGAAAGCAGUGCUGCAAGCCUCUGGAGAGAAUUGGGAUGAGUUCUAUAUCAUGUCCAAUUCUUGUGACCCACUUCUUGACCCAUCAAUAUUUGAUGAGGUAUGGUCCUUUCCGAACCAGCUUUCUUAUGACAGGAAACUUAUCUUUGAUUGUAUUAAUGAAGUUCUCAUGGAGGUAUAUGGGCGCUAUUUCGGUUGCCCCCUUGGGUUAUCAUUUGCAAAACCUACCAUCCGACCUGCGCCAGACAUGGAAAAUGCUAUUCGUGAGGUAUGGGAAGGAGUGUAUUGGUAUCUCCUCCCAUUGCCACUACCUCGUACAUUAGAGCAGAUAGUCAAGAAAGACAUGGCUAAAACUGGGACAUGGAUGGACCUUCGAUAUGAUAGUGAAACUAUCAUCAUUGAGAUCGGUGAAGCCAUUUUUAAAGAUCUGGUGGAAGAAACUACAUUAAGCUGUGUAAAUGAAUGUUCAGAAAGUGGAAAUCCUUCAAUUGCAGCUGAAUCCAAGGAUCAGAGUAGCAUCGAUUUGUAAAUUACAUUUUACUUGUGUUUGUUCUUACCAAUAAUUGAGCUCCAUUGUUUCUGGGUGGGAGGAGGAGCAGUUUCAUCUCAGCAGGCUUCAUUUGUCCCUUCUGGGAUGUCCUGGACACGGCUUGACAGAGGCUUUCUUUCUAACUUUGCCAUUGAGAUCAUGUAUAUAUCAAACAGUUCUAACAUUGUCAAAGCACGAUAGCUUGGGAGCUCUACUAGGCAGAUAUCCUCAAAUGAAGUAUUCAUGCUUCGUGGGCAGGAAUCAGGAGCCCAAUCAGCAAGUACUUCUUGUUAUCAAGCAAAGACUACUUGAUUUCCAUGGCAAUUUUUUCAACCAUGACCGGAUAGGCACCUUACACUCAGUUGACAAUAGAACUAUUAUCAUUGUAGACUUGUAGAUUAUGGUGUGUUGAUUGUGUCAGUUAAGGCAGUGUAUGUUGUUAACCUUGUUAUUUCUUGGUUCUUUUUGCCCUGAUUUCAUUCUUUCUUCUGUCAAGUUCUUGUUUCUUUUACCUCUCUCCUUUAUUUAUGAAGUUGGGGUUGCUGUGAAUUUGUGACUAUUUGGAUGUAUUAUAGGGGGUAAUUUUGCACGAGUGUUGUAUGCAAUUAACAAGCUAUUGUUGCUAUGUUCUGAUUUAUGAAUAAUUAAUACAGGUAAUAUAUGGAAUACAUGUG
Molecule: unclassified non-coding RNA, 4894 nt
Filed under: Hevea brasiliensis (rubber tree)
Lineage: Eukaryota; Viridiplantae; Streptophyta; Magnoliopsida; Malpighiales; Euphorbiaceae
Source: RNAcentral